CUCGGUGUCCCCGGGACCCCGCGCCUGGCCAGCUCAGGGGCCUGAGGGGCCCGGGGCCGACUCCGCACAAUGGAGGGUUCCACUGCGCAGGAAACACGUGUCCUGCUUUAUGCCUUCAUGAUACUUAACCGCUCUCAGAAGUUGUCUUGUUGAUAUAUUCGUUUGCCUCGUCCCUCCCAAAUGUAAACGGCAUCGGAGCGGGGACCAUGUCUUGACCACCACCUUCUCCUCGAGGAGAUAUUCUGAUCAGAUACUGGAUGGGAGACAAGCGUACCUUUGUUUGCAAAGUAGAAUGAUGAUUGUGACCAACGAUAUUAACCACAGGUACUGGGUCAUUAUGGAAGAAUGCAGUCAUCGUGCUAAAGGUGAAGCUGCCAUCCUGUACGUCAUCCCCAGACAUCAACCACGACCCGGAUGGCUGAGAGGAUGGAUGCAAAGAUUCGGGUCUCUGAGAGCAUAAUGGAACUGCUGAAUUCAUCCGGGUUGCCCUCCUCCGGGUUCUCAUUACAUAAGGAAAGGAACACCCCGGUUUAUUUAGGGCAAAGCUGUUCAGAUUUCUGUUACCCACAGCAGAAUGGGCAUUUCUGGAAACAGGAACUCCUUGACGGAUGCAUCUUCAGAUAAUGUGCAGACAUUCAAUUACACAGUGAAAAAAGGAUGCGUUUCACAGUUUUGACUGGGACAAUUUUAUUUAGAAUGUUUAUUGUUGACCCAUCUCUGAAAGCACGUAGUCACUGUUGUGAAGAGAACAGGGAUUGCUGAGGCAAGAAAUGAUGACACAAUCUCUCUGGGUUCUCAAGAAGAACACGGGGUUUUGAACCGAAAAUGUGAAAGCCGGCCCUGCUGGCAGCCAGGCCGUUGGUUUCCCAAUCUGCACGGAAGCGAUGUUCAGGCAAGCCCCUCACCCUCAGAAACGUUUGGAAGGAGAGACAGAACAAGGCCAAACACACAGGUGACUAACUGACUCCCUCUUCUGAUGAAUCUGAGUGACUGCUCUCCCUUCACCAGUUACAAGCAACUCUAGUGCCCCUGUUUUCUAGAUAACGUUAGAUUCCAGUUACCAAAAUACUCUGUUCUUCACAGCAUCUAGUCUAGGGUUGCCCCCCACCUUCCCAAUCCCUCCUGAGAAUCACCCAGCACUGGGCAGGUCCUGUGAGAAGCCCCUGCCAGCUCCCUCUCCUGAGCCUCUGGGGCCAUCCUCUCCUGCUGCAGCAAGCUCAGUAAACCUAACAUCUUUUUUUCUUAGACUGCAGGUGAGUGUCUGGUAAUCUUUGGUCAGCGGGCUUUAACAGAACAUCCCAAAGCCAGAGUUUUAAGCCCCUCCCACCUCUAGUGGUCCAAAUAGAGGUUCAGGAACGGGUGCCAGGAGCUCCCGGCAGACCGCAGCAUCCUGGGGACUGGAACUGUCGCUAAUUCACUCAUCCUUGCCCUCAAAUAACUUGUUCUCCACACCUGUCUGUCUGUCCUUCCAGCAAUGACUGGAGGGGUAAGGAAAAGGACAGUGGACCCUGAGACAGCUGUCACUACCAUGCCCACAUCCCCUACCAGAGUUCUUGGGAAGCUCCCCUCUCCUGUUUGCUCUCUGUGUAGUCAUCAUUCAGUCCUGACUGGGUCCAUGUGGAAAAAAGAGGUAAAAUCUACAGGGAGGAAACAGUGUGACCCUUGCAUCAGGCAGGGAAGGAGGGAGUUUCUUCUAGGGUGUGCUUAGAGGGAAGAGGAGAUUUUCCCAGGGUUGGGCUGGCCUGAAAUUCAUCGGCACUAGAUGUAGGGGGUUCAUUGAGCACUGGCCCUGCCAUCAUUUGCAGGUGUUUCGGAAACAUGUUCUGAUCAGAAAAGACAUCCCAAAUGAAGAUUAUAACUAAAAGGGUCAAGGGAUGUUUUCCAAUGAGAGACUCUAUGGAGUAGGACGUCUGAAAACAAGCUUCAAAUAGCUUUUGAAGGUGAACAGGACGAUGAUAAAAAACUGAGUCCUCAAUGUGGGCUGUAUCAGUGCUUCUCAACCCGACUACAUAUUAGAAUCAGCUGGGAGAGUUAAAAGACUGCCUGUGCCUGAGACCCUACUCCAGUCCAAUCAUAUUAGAAUUUUUCAACCAAGGAGAUAAUAAAAAGCCUCAGGAAGCUC
Molecule: long non-coding RNA, 2122 nt
Organism: Balaenoptera ricei (Rice's whale)
Lineage: Eukaryota; Metazoa; Chordata; Mammalia; Artiodactyla; Balaenopteridae
Exons: 3
Source: RefSeq, a predicted model, not a curated record